This 773-nucleotide ribosomal RNA is filed under the name uncultured Neocallimastigales. RNAcentral describes it as "partial large subunit ribosomal RNA". It matches the Rfam family "Eukaryotic large subunit ribosomal RNA", at positions 24 to 617 of the family's 3401-position model. The record is from RNAcentral. Lineage: Eukaryota; Fungi; Neocallimastigomycota; Neocallimastigomycetes; Neocallimastigales.
UACGACUACAUAUCAGGCAUAUCAAUAAGCGGAGGAAAAGAAACUAACAAGGAUUCCCUUAGUAACGGCGAGUGAAGCGGGAAGAGCUCAAAUUUGAAAUCUUCAAGGUUUUACCUUGACGAAUUGUAGUUUAAAGAAGUGUUUUCUGUUGGAGUUUUGGUAAAAGUUCUUUGGAAUAGGACAUCAUAGAGGGUGAGAAUCCCGUAUUUGACCAUUAUUUUCAGCUGUGUGAUACACUUUCAAAGAGUCGGAUUGUUUGGGAAUGCAGUCCAAAAUGGGUGGUAAAUUUCAUCUAAAGCUAAAUAUUGGCGAGAGACCGAUAGCGAACAAGUACCGUGAGGGAAAGAUGAAAAGAACUUUGAAAAGAGAGUUAAACAGUACGUGAAAUUGUCAAAAGGGAAGCGUUUGACACCAGUGUUGUUUUCUCGAAAAUCAAUUAAAAAAAGUUGGAUUUUGUGUUGUAUUGACCUUAACAGCUUGCUUCACUCUUUUCCAGCUUUUUUUAAUGCACUUUUCGCUUAACAAGUCAACAUCAGUUUCUUUUGUUGUAAAAGGGUCAUUGGAAGGUGGCUUUCUCUUCGGAGAAAGUGUUUAUAGCCUUUGAUCUCUGCAAUCGGAGAGACUGAGGUCUGCAGCGUAGAUCCUUCGGGGUUAGAUACAUUUGUGCUAAGCUACAGCUUUUCAUAGACAACUUGUUGACUAUGUUUAGUCUUGUAACUUACCCGCUUAUGCUAUUUUACCUACGCUUAGGAUGUUGAGCGCAUGUCUCUCUC